Molecule: ribosomal RNA, 221 nt
Filed under: uncultured bacterium
Lineage: Bacteria
Description: partial 16S ribosomal RNA
Rfam family: Bacterial small subunit ribosomal RNA
Source: RNAcentral
UACGAAGGGGGCUAGCGUUGCUCGGAAUCACUGGGCGUAAAGGGUGCGUAGGCGGGUCUUUAAGUCAGGGGUGAAAUCCUGGAGCUCAACUCCAGAACUGCCUUUGAUACUGAGGAUCUUGAGUUCGGGAGAGGUGAGUGGAACUGCGAGUGUAGAGGUGAAAUUCGUAGAUAUUCGCAAGAACACCAGUGGCGAAGGGCGGCUCACUGGCCCGGAUACUG